RNAcentral lists this long non-coding RNA (5244 nucleotides) under Sus scrofa (pig). RNAcentral describes it as "lncRNA (ENSSSCG00000059659.1)". Lineage: Eukaryota; Metazoa; Chordata; Mammalia; Artiodactyla; Suidae. The record is from RNAcentral.
GCCUCUUUUCUGCCUAGAACAACAGAGCGAGUGCCGUUGAAGCAACUAGAGCUAGGUGAGAGUCACCUGAGUGACUCCUUUCAGUAUGCAAAAUAAGCUGAGGCAACUUCUGCAUAAAGAUGGGAGAAUGAAGUUGAGUCACACACUUUGUCCACCAAUAUCUAAGUAACACUCUCUCUAUUUUUUGUUUUCUUUCUUGUCCUUUUCUUUCUCCCUUUCUUUUCUCUUCUUUUCGUUUUUUUGCUAGCAAAGUUUUGUCAGUAACAACCGAGUUAGGAAAGGGACAGAGAUAAACCAGAAGGUGAUGACCACUGUACAAGUAGAAGCUGCUGCUGAAGCUUAGUGUGGGUCUACUUGUAUUUCCCAAUAACAAUUCUUAAAAAUUAAAAAUAAAUCAUUAGAAUUCUCACAAAUAAUUCCAAAUUUAGAAAGAAGUGGAACUGAGAGUAUAUCCUUAUAUUUUUCCCACGCUUUUAUCUAGGGAAGUAGAAAUACCUGCUAUAUAGGGAUGGAUAUAAAGAGAAAUCAACAACCACAUCCUGGGCUACCUCUCAGUGGUCUAUGCUUGGGCUCCAGGACCCUACAUUGCAUUGGGGAAAUGGCAGUGGUAGUUUCCAUGACAAUGGGAUUGUGAGUCUGGCUAGUAUCAGAGAGUAUAUUAAAAGAAGAUGACUUAAAUAUUCAAAAUUCCAUCAGAGCAAAUGCUUUUAGCCUCUAGGCCAUACUGCUUCAUCUCAGGUUCCCUGGCCAUGGUAACUGUCUCAGGGAUGGACCCCUGGGUGGAUCAGAAUCCUUAUCUGGGUUUUUUUCUGCUGCACCUAGCGGGGAAAACUUAUAUUUUUGAAAGAAAGGACCAUUAUCCCUGAACACAAAUGAUGUCUGAGUGUUUAAGAAAAGAAUAAAGAGAGAAAAGUACUUUUCAUUUUUUAAUUUGUUUUUUUUUUUUUUUUUUUUUGUCUUUUGUCUUUUUGUUGUUGUUGUUGUUGUUGCUAUUUCUUGGGCCGCUCCCGCGGCAUAUGGAGGUUCCCAGGCUAGGGGUUGAAUGGGAGCUGUAGCCACCGGCCUACGCCAGAGCCACAGCAAUGUGGGAUCCGAACCGCAUCUGUGACCUACACCACAGGUCACAGCAACGCCGGAUCGUUAACCCACCCGAACCCGCAACCUCAUGGUUCCUAGUCGGAUUCGUUAACCACUGCGCCACGACGGGAACUCCUAAUUUGUAUUUUUUAAUUGAAGCAUAGUUGAUUUACAAUGUUGUGUUAAUUUCUGCUCUACAGCAAAAUGAUUCAUAUAUAUAUAUAUAUAUAUACACACACACACACACACACACAUACAUUCUUUUUUAAAAUAUUCUUUUCUAGUAUGGUUUAUCAUAGGGCACUGAAUAUAAUUCUCUGUGCUGUACAGUAGGACUUUGCUUUUUGUCCCUUCCAUGCAUAUAAUAGCUCACUUAUGCUGCUAAUCCCAACCUCCCAACAACCCCCACCACCCCCUACCCCCCACUCCUGGCAACCACAAAUCUGUUCUCCUUGUCUUUGAGUCUGUUUCUGUUUUGUAGAUUGGUUCAUUUAUGAUAUAUUUUUUAUAAUGAUGUUUAUUUUUUCCAUUAUAGCUGGUUCUAUCAAUUAUGUAUGACAUAUUUUAGAUUCCAUGUUUAAAUGAUAGAAUAUGGUGUUUGUCUUUUUUUUUUUUUUUUUUUUUGUCUUUUUGCUAUUUCUUGGGCCGCUCCCGCGGCAUAUGGAGGUUCCCAGGCUAGGGGUCGAAUCGGAGCUGUAGCCACCAGCCUACACCAGAGCUACAGCAACUCCGGAUCUGAGCCGCGUCUGCGACCUACACAGCUCACAGCAAUGCUGGAUCCUUAAACCAUUGAGCAAGGCCAGGGAUCGAACCUGCAACCCCAUGGUUCCUAGUCAGAUUCGUUAACCACUGUGCCAUGACAGGAACUCCAUAAUUUUUUUUUUUUUUUUACUGUUUGUCUUUUGACUUAUUUCACUUAGUAUAAUCUCUAGAUCCAUCCAUAUUGCUGCAAAUGGAGUUAUUUCAUUCUUUUUUAUGACUGUGUUGUAUUCCAUUAUGUAUAUGAACCACAUUUUCUGUAUCUAUUCAUCGGUCGAUAGACAGAUGAACCUAAAAGCUGUUUCCGUGUCUUGGCCAUUGUGAAUAAUGCUGUUAUGAACAUAGGGGUGCAUGUAUAUUUUUGAAUUAUUGUUUGUCUGGAUAUAUGCCCAGAAGUGGGAUUGCUUGGAUCAUAUGGUAACUCUAUCCCUAGUUUUCUAAGGAAAGUCUGUGCUGUUUUCCAUAGUGGCUGUACCAACUUACAUUACCACCAAAAGUGUAGGAUGGUUCCCUUUUCUCUGCACCCUUUCCAGGAUUUGUUAGUUAUAGACUUUUUAAUGAUGCCCAUUCUGACCUGUGUGAGAUGAUACGUCAUUGCAGUUUUGAUUUCCUUUCCCUAAUAAUUAGUGGUAUUAAGCAUCUUUUCAUGUACCUAUUGGUCAUUUGCAUUUCUUUGGAGAAAUGUCUACUUAGGGUCUUCUACCCAUUUUUUGAUUUUGGUUGUUGUUGAGUUGUACGAGCUAUUGGUAUAUUUUGAAGAUUAAGCCCUUUUCAGUCUCUUCAUUUGCAAAUACUUUCCCCCAUUCUGUAGGUUGACUUUUUGUUUUAUUUAUGGUUUCCCUAGCUGUGCAAAACUUGUAAGUUUGAUUAAUUCCCAUUUUUUAAUUUUUGUUUGUAUUUCUAUUGCUUUGGGAGACUAACUAAAGAAAACAUUGGUACAACUUAUGUCAGAGAAUGUUUUGCCUGUGAUCCCUUCUAGGAUUUUUAUGGUGUCAUGUCUUACGUUUAAGUCUUUAAGCCAUUUUGAGUUUAUUUUUGUGUGUGGUGUGAGGGUGUGUUGUAACUUCAUUGAUUUAUAUGCAGCUGUCCAACUUUCCCAAACCACUUGCUGAGGAAAUUGUUUUUUUCUCACUGUAUAUUCUUGCCUUCUUUGUCAAAUAUUAAUUGACCAUGGGUGUCUGGGUUUCUUUCUGGGCUUUCCAUUCUGGUCCAUUGAUCCAUAUAUCUGUUUUUGUGCCACUAGCAUGCUGUUUUGAUUACUGUAGCUUUGUAGUAUUGUCUGAAAUACGGGAGGGUUAUGACUCCUGCUUUGUUCUUUUUCUUCAGGAUUACUUGGGCAAUUCUGGGUCUUUUAGGGCAUGAUUUCAAUUUAGGAUUAUUUGUUUUAGUUCUGUGAAAAUGUCAUGGGGAAUUUGAUAAGGAUCACCUUAAAUCUGUAGAUUGCUUUGGGUGGUAAGGCCAUUUUAACAAUAUUAAUUCUUAUAAUCCAAGAGCAUUGAAUAUCUUUCCAUUAUUUAAAUCAUUUUAAGUCUCCUUCAUUAAUGUUUUAUAGUUCUCAGCAUAUUAUUCUUUUACCUCCUUGGUUAGGUUUAUUCGCAAGUAUUUUAUUUUGGGGGAGUGUAAUUUUAAAAGAUACUGUUUUUUUCCAUUCAUUUUCUGAUAUUUCAUUAUUAGUGUAAAGAAAUGCAACAGAUUUCUAUAUAUUAAUCUUGUAUCCCGCUACCUUGCAUAAUUUAUUUAUCAGUUUGAGUAGCUUUUGUGCAAAGUUUUUAGGGUUUUCUAUAUAUAGUAUCAUGUCAUCUGCAUGUAAGGACAAUUUUACCUCUUCCCUUCCAAUUUGGGUAUCUUUUUAAGGUUCAUUUUUUUGGGGGGGAGUAAGAGGAUAUCAUGAUAACCUCACUUGAAUCCUUGGUCCAGUUCUGUGUAAUACCCAUCCUACCCAAUUAUUAUGUAGCCAAAAUGUUCCCCACCUACUUCCCCACACCCUCCUUAAAUUUGUUUGAAUUUUAAUUCUGCCUCUGUCACUUCAGAUCACAAGACUAAUACAUGGUAACUUAAAGUCCAACGAGCAUGAGAGUUCCAAUUUUCCUGAAUCUUUGGGGAAUAUUAGCAUGUGAAAUAGAAGAACAUUAGAUAUGAGAGAAAGGCAGAUAUACCAUUCCUGGAAAGUGCUUAGUGCAUAACUCAACAUUACUGAUUUCAAUUGCUGCCUGCAGGAUUUUAAAAAAAAAAUGCAAGUAUAGAUACCAGGUAGAACAUUAAUUCCACAGAAAAACGUAUAAUAGAGCUCUGAGCAAAUAGAAGAAAGCAGAGUUGAGGAACAGAUGAAUUGGUUGUUCUCAUUUUACCUGCUUAUUUUUCCUUUACAUAUAGCAGAGGAAAGAAAAAGAGAAUCUUUUUCAGAGGGAAAUUCAAUAAGUAGCUUUCUAAAAAAAUUUCCUACCUCUGUAGUUAAAAUUGCUAGACAUUCAAAUGACCAUAAUUCCCCUGUGUUCUGGAAGAACAUUGCCAUAAUUUUCAUGCAGAGGUUUUUGAUUAUAGUUCCUGGAUCAAAAGCAUCCAUAGAGAGUUUCAGGUUGUAAAUAGUGCUUUAAUUAAAGCAAAGUAUCUGAACCAAUCAUGGAUUUUUACUAAAUAGAAUUUUUUGCCUUCUGUAUCGCAAAAGCUGGAGGUAGACAAAAGAAAUGCCUUUUUGCUAUAGAUGAUAAAGUCACUUUAACUGUAUUCAUUUCUGAAAAAGAAAACUCAUCUCCAAGUUUGUGUUUUUCAAAAAUGAAAUUGAAAAAUAUACAGGACAGUAUUUUUAACUGUUUCUUUUUUUUUUUUAACCUGGUUCUAACUUUCCACCUUUUGUUAAUGAUGUAUGAUGUGUAACAUGGUACUUUUGUUUGCUUAAUAUUCUUCCUAGAAAGCGUUUAUCCUGGAUAAGCAGGGAGAUAAGAUUUUGAAAGUUUCUCAUAGAAGGGUAGGAAUGGAGACAGGCUGCUCAUUAACUGCAUUAGAUGACUGGCAUUUUACUACUAUAAUGAAAAAAUAAGGAGAAAAUAGCAGGACCAUCCAUUUUGGGUAGGUAAGGCUAAGACUGAUUCCAGCAUUUGAAUCUGAAGUAAUGAUCAGACACCUAUGGUAGAAGAUAGUUGAGGAAAUGGGAUUGGAGCUCAGGAAUGAUUACAGAGCAGUGAUACAAAACCAAGAUAUCCAUUGAAAGUAGAAGGAGAUGACCCUCUGGAAGAGAGGUGGUUUCCAAGGGAGAGUGUGAAGAAAGCAAGGAAUGGAGAACCAAGAACCAAAGCUUAAUGACUACACAUAAUAGUAAUCAGGGGUCAACUAGCCUAAUGCAGUCAGGUGAAUGGGAGAGUCAUUGAGGAAACCUAGCAGAGGCUUUAAGAAGCAUGUUGCUUGGGGGUG